CCCUUAGAGUUUGAUCCUGGCUCAGAUUGAACGCUGGCGGCAUGCCUUACACAUGCAAGUCGAACGGCAGCGCGGGGCAACCUGGCGGCGAGUGGCGAACGGGUGAGUAAUAUAUCGGAACGUACCCUGGAGUGGGGGAUAACGUAGCGAAAGUUACGCUAAUACCGCAUACGAUCUAAGGAUGAAAGUGGGGGAUCGCAAGACCUCAUGCUCCUGGAGCGGCCGAUAUCUGAUUAGCUAGUUGGUGGGGUAAAGGCCUACCAAGGCAUCGAUCAGUAGCUGGUCUGAGAGGACGACCAGCCACACUGGAACUGAGACACGGUCCAGACUCCUACGGGAGGCAGCAGUGGGGAAUUUUGGACAAUGGGCGAAAGCCUGAUCCAGCAAUGCCGCGUGAGUGAAGAAGGCCUUCGGGUUGUAAAGCUCUUUUGUCAGGGAAGAAACGGUGAGGGCUAAUAUCCCUUGCUAAUGACGGUACCUGAAGAAUAAGCACCGGCUAACUACGUGCUAGCAGCCGCGGUAAUACGUAGGGUGCAAGCGUUAAUCGGAAUUACUGGGCGUAAAGCGUGCGCAGGCGGUUUUGUAAGUCUGUCGUGAAAUCCCCGGGCUCAACCUGGGAAUUGCGAUGGAGACUGCAAGGCUAGAAUCUGGCAGAGGGGGGUAGAAUUCCACGUGUAGCAGUGAAAUGCGUAGAGAUGUGGAGGAACACCGAUGGCGAAGGCAGCCCCCUGGGUCAAGAUUGACGCUCAUGCACGAAAGCGUGGGGAGCAAACAGGAUUAGAUACCCUGGUAGUCCACGCC
RNAcentral lists this ribosomal RNA (801 nucleotides) under uncultured bacterium. Its description in RNAcentral is "bacterial SSU rRNA". It matches the Rfam family "Bacterial small subunit ribosomal RNA", at positions 1 to 801 of the family's 1533-position model. The record is from RNAcentral.